Long non-coding RNA from Dasypus novemcinctus (nine-banded armadillo), 2173 nucleotides. Lineage: Eukaryota; Metazoa; Chordata; Mammalia; Cingulata; Dasypodidae. The record is from Ensembl.
CUGGUUCCCCGCCCUAAGGGCCGCGGGGCUCCCGGGGCGCCCGCGGUCAGCCAGCCCGAGGUGCGGAGGGGAGCGAGCACCCACAUCCCCGCCCCGGAUGGGUCGCAUUCCCCCUCCUCUGCUUCCCUGGGCCAGCUCGGAGCAGGGGUGGGCAGCGCUGGUGGGUACCGCGGCCACAGCUACAGGGCCGAGGCGGUGGCUGCCGCCGCCGCCGCGGGCGCUGUCGAGGAAUCGGCCCGGGCGCGCGGCCCUCGCCCGGGCGCGGGGCUGGGAAGCGGCGGGCGAGGGAAAGCGCCGCGGGACGUGCAGACGACGAAGGCCGAACCCUUACCUCGGCCUCGGCAGCAGCCGCCUCCGCACCAGGCAGGCUCCCCAGCGGACAAGGGGCGGGGGAGCCGGGAGGGGCCCGGGAGAGGAGGGGUGUGUCUGCCCCAGCUUCCCCUGUUGACGUUUAAUUUAGGAGAUGCCGGGGGAUGCGACGAGCGCGAGCGCGGCCGGAGCGACGGCGGGUGCUGGCCCUCUCUGCGCCAAGGGCAGGCAAGAGCCUCGGGGAUCACCGCCUUGACCUCCCGGGCUGCAGCUCCCCUACCCCCCCCCACACACACACUGAGGGCUGCGGGGCUUCCCUCCGCCUGCGAAAAAGCAGCUCACGGACCCCCUGAAAUCCAUGGCCCCUGUUUGAGAGCCCCUACCCUAGAAGGAGUGCCGGCAAUGUCUUCAUGAGGAAAACAUCCAUGAGAAAUUCAAAGUCAUGUGAUGGCAUGUAAGAUUGUAUUAAUGUUCAUUACUGCAUAAUUUGGGUUUUUUGGACAGUGGGGGGAAGUGUAGUAAAUCAUAUCCCAGUACAUCCUCACUCACAAUAAAUAGCAACGCAUCCAGUGACUGUGCCUUCCCAGUCAUCAACAUCUCUACUCUGUCCUGUCAAAUGGUUAAAAUACCUCACGGAAGUUGUCUUUCAAUACAGAAGCGAAUUUCAUUGCACAGCAUUCCAUCUUCUAAUUCUUGUCUAGAACAAGUUCAUUCCCUGACUCCCUGCUAAGAAAAAGUUUUGCUUUCCAAAAAACUUGACCAUCUUGAGGAUGCCCCUUGGAUGUGGUGCUCAUAAAAACGAAGGGAAAAACAGACCCAGGAGCAAGCUCCUACGGCCUAAUUCAAGGUAGAAUUUUUGCUAACUCCACACCUUGUCUUAUUUGGCUCAAAAGCCUAUUUAAGAGGAACUUCAUUUACAUAAUGGUCUGUUUAACCACAGGAGCUAUAAAGGUCACAACUCAAGCUCUUCUCUUUCCUGGAAGCCAGGCAACCUGAACCCAACUGAUUACCUGGGCUUUUUUUUUCCGGCUAAGUCCAGGACGUGAAGAAAUUCAUGAAGAGGGCAAAGAGAGUUUCUUCUCUGAGUUAACUAAAGGGAUUUUACCAAAGUAGAGAACAGAAUCUAGGGUGGGAUAUAAAGCAGUCAUUAUUCAUUCAUCCAACAAUCAUUUAGUGAGAGCUUAUUCUGUGCCAGAAACUAGACCAGACAUUGGGUGAGUAAACCCAAGCUCAAUCUGCCUGCACAGAGCUUGCUGCUGAGUGAGAAGCAAACAUUAAGUAAUCACAUACGUAAAUACAAAACAGCAAUCUAAGUAAGUCCUGGGGCAGCAAGAACGUAGAGCAUGCCUGUGGUUAGGGCAUUUGCCUUCAUGGGGAAGUAGGCAGGGGGUGCUGGAGUUUAGAUCUGAAAGACAGUCAGAGAAAGAGGGAGGCAGAGUGUUUCCAGCAAAGCAAAGGACAUGGGCAAAGGGGCUGAAGUUCAGAAAGAGAAGGGGAGGGGGAAAAUGCAGGACAACUCCAGAGGGGUGGCCAGGGCCAUGCAGAGAACUCAGGAUUUUGGUCUUCAUUCUGAGAUCAAUGGGUCUUUAGACAGUUAAAGGCCCAAUGACCCAUUAGUUCCACUCAAUUCAAAAGAAAUGAAAAUAUGUGCCCCCUAAACAACAUGAACGCAAAUGGGCUCAUAGUGGCCUUGAAAGAGUUCCAAAUGCAAACAAUCCAAAUAUCCAUCAGCAGGAGACUGGAUCAAUAGGUUUCAGUUUAUUCAUAUAAUAUUCUUGAGCGAACUACUUAUAAACACAAAACAGAAACAUCUCAAGAUUAUGUUCAGUUCAAUAAACCAGAGACAAAGAAGUACAUACAGUAG